UACGAAGGGGGCGAGCGUUGUUCGGAAUUACUGGGCGUAAAGGGCGCGUAGGCGGCGACCCAAGUCAGAUGUGAAAGUCCUGGGCUUAACCUGGGGACUGCAUUUGAUACUGGGUUGCUUGAAUUCGGGAGAGGAUAGCGGAAUUCCCAGUGUAGAGGUGAAAUUCGUAGAUAUUCGGAAGAACACCAGUGGCGAAGGCGGCUCACUGGACCGGUAUUGACGCUGAGGUGCGAAAGCGUGGGGAGCAAACAGG
Molecule: ribosomal RNA, 253 nt
Filed under: uncultured bacterium
Lineage: Bacteria
Description: partial 16S ribosomal RNA
Rfam family: Bacterial small subunit ribosomal RNA
Source: RNAcentral